RNAcentral lists this ribosomal RNA (386 nucleotides) under uncultured bacterium. RNAcentral describes it as "bacterial SSU rRNA". It matches the Rfam family "Archaeal small subunit ribosomal RNA", at positions 339 to 727 of the family's 1478-position model. The record is from RNAcentral.
GCGCGAAAUCUCUGCAAUAGGCGAAAGCUUGACAGGGUUACUCUGAGUGAUUCCCGCUAAGGGGAUCUUUUGGCACCUUUAAAAAUGGUGCAGAAUAAGGGGUGGGCAAGUCUGGUGUCAGCCGCCGCGGUAAUACCAGCACCCCGAGUGGUCGGGACGAUUAUUGGGCCUAAAGCAUCCGUAGCCGGUACUGCAAGUCUUCCGUUAAAUCCACCUGCUUAACAGUUGGGCUGCGGGGGAUACUACAGUGCUAGGAGGCGGGAGAGGCAAGCGGUACUCAAUGGGUAGGGGUAAAAUCCGCUGAUCCAUUGAAGACCACCAGUGGCGAAGGCGGCUUGCCAGAACGCGCUCGACGGUGAGGGAUGAAAGCUGGGGGAGCAAACCGG